GUUUGAUCGUGGCUCAUGACGAACGCUGGCGGCGUGCUUAACACAUGCAAGUCGAACGGUAAGGCCCUUUCGGGGGUACACGAGUGGCGAACGGGUGAGUAACACGUGAGUAACCUGCCCUCAACUNCUGGGAUAACGGCUGGAAACGGUUGCUAAUACUGGAUAUGAGCUGGGCCUGCAUGGGUCUGGUUGGAAAGCUUUUGCGGUUGGGGAUGGGCUCGCGGCCUAUCAGCUUGUUGGUGAGGUAGUGGCUCACCAAGGCUUCGACGGGUAGCCGGCCUGAGAGGGCGACCGGCCACAUUGGGACUGAGAUACGGCCCAAACUCCUACGGGAGGCAGCAGUGGGGAAUAUUGCACAAUGGGCGGAAGCCUGAUGCAGCAACGCCGCGUGCGGGAUGACGGCCUUCGGGUUGUAAACCGCUUUCAGUUGGGACGAAGCGUGAGUGACGGUACCAACAGAAGAAGCACCGGCUAACUACGUGCCAGCAGCCGCGGUGAUACGUAGGGUGCGAGCGUUGUCCGGAUUUAUUGGGCGUAAAGAGCUUGUAGGCGGUUUGUCGCGUCGGGAGUGAAAACUCAGGGCUUAACUCUGAGCUUGCUUUCGAUACGGGCUGACUUGAGGGAGGUAGGGGAGAAUGGAAUUCCUGGUGUAGC
This 654-nucleotide ribosomal RNA is filed under the name Propionibacterium sp. cp07.25. Its description in RNAcentral is "bacterial SSU rRNA". It matches the Rfam family "Bacterial small subunit ribosomal RNA", at positions 11 to 679 of the family's 1533-position model. Lineage: Bacteria; Bacillati; Actinomycetota; Actinomycetes; Propionibacteriales; Propionibacteriaceae. The record is from RNAcentral.